This 806-nucleotide long non-coding RNA is filed under the name Malus domestica (apple). RNAcentral describes it as "long non-coding RNA (MDOM_LNC005056)". The record is from RNAcentral. Lineage: Eukaryota; Viridiplantae; Streptophyta; Magnoliopsida; Rosales; Rosaceae.
AUUUUAUGUAUGUUUCAAAAUCUUUUAGUUGAUGUUAAAAUCAUAUUUUUCAUGGGGAGUGUGUUUUAUUUUAUUUUAUUUUAUCUUCUUUUGAGUACUCUUUUAUUUGGUUUUUUACAGAUAUUUGUUUUAUUUUAUGUAUGUUUCACAAGUGGGGCGUCGUGUAAGAUGACUUCUUUUUAAUCACAUAUAACUCUAGUUAUUCUUCAUAAGCAACUUUUGAAUUGUGCUUUCAUACUUACUUUCAGUUUUCAUUCUGGCACUCUGUAUAAUGUCGAAAGGCAUGAAAAAAUAUUGAAUGACAAUAAAUCCUUAGAACUCACAUUGAAUCAUUCAGACACAAUCAUAAGGAAAAAGUUCAUAUAGGAAAUUAAAAAUGACAGAAUUCAACAGAAUUCAAGACAAGGACAGCGUGUUAGAAAAUUUUAGGUGAACUCAUUCAAAUUUUAGAGGGGUAGGGAAGAAAAGACUAAACCCUAAAAUACACCAUAAAAUUCCUAGUUUAUCAAAACUCUUCACUUUUAUAUUUUCUUAAAAUAAUUUCAUAAAAUUUCAUAAUCGAAUACACCUCUAAUUGUAUAAAUUUCUUUAAAAUUCUGAUUAAAUACACUAGAAUUUCUAUGAAUUUUAUAAACUCUUUCAAUCUUAAUUGGAGAUGGAUUUUUUCAUGUGCCCAAAACAAAGGCCGAUACACUGAAAAAAUUCUUCUAAACUUUCACGAAUUCAUUUAUAUUCCUGUUUGCAAUUAGCCAAAAAUUCAAUAUAUACUAAAACCCAUUUUGGCUUGAAACACUGUUCAUAAGCAC